RNAcentral lists this ribosomal RNA (359 nucleotides) under uncultured bacterium. RNAcentral's name for it is "partial 16S ribosomal RNA". It matches the Rfam family "Bacterial small subunit ribosomal RNA", at positions 338 to 695 of the family's 1533-position model. The record is from RNAcentral.
CCUACGGGAGGCAGCAGUGAGGAAUAUUGGUCAAUGGUCGGGAGACUGAACCAGCCAAGCCGCGUGAGGGAUGAAGGUACUGAGUAUCGUAAACCUCUUUUGUCAGGGAACAAAGGCGGGGACGUGUCCCCGGAUGAGUGUACCUGAAGAAAAAGCAUCGGCUAACUCCGUGCCAGCAGCCGCGGUAAUACGGAGGAUGCGGGCGUUAUCCGGAUUUAUGGGGUUAAAAGGGUGCGCGGGGGGUCGGUAAAGUCAGCGGUCAAAGCCCGGGGCUAAACCCCGGACCGCCGUUGAAACUGGCAGUCUCGAGUUGGAGAGAGGUAGGCGGAAUGCGCGGUGUAGCGGUGAAAUGCAUAGAU